Molecule: ribosomal RNA, 413 nt
Filed under: uncultured bacterium
Lineage: Bacteria
Description: bacterial SSU rRNA
Rfam family: Bacterial small subunit ribosomal RNA
Source: RNAcentral
GUGCCAGCCGCCGCGGUAAUACGGGGGGGGCAAGCGUUGUUCGGAAUUACUGGGCGUAAAGGGCUCGUAGGCGGCCAACUAAGUCCGACGUGAAAUCCCCAGGCUUAACCUGGGAACUGCGUCGGAUACUGGAUGGCUUGAAUCCGGGAGAGGGAUGCGGAAUUCCAGGUGUAGCGGUGAAAUGCGUAGAGAUCCGGAGGAACACCGAAGGCGAAGGCAGUGUCCUGGCGAGUGACUGACGCUGAGGUGCGAAAGCCAGGGGAGCGAACGGGAUUAGAUACCCCGGUAGUCCUGGCCGUAAACGAUGACCACCAGGUGUGGGAGGUAUCGACUCCUUCCGUGCCAAAGUAAACACAUUAAGUGGUCCGCCUGGGGAGUACGGUCGCAAGAUUAAAACUUAAAUGAAUUGACGG